Long non-coding RNA from Sceloporus undulatus (fence lizard), 3589 nucleotides. RefSeq lists it as uncharacterized. The transcript has 4 exons. Lineage: Eukaryota; Metazoa; Chordata; Lepidosauria; Squamata; Phrynosomatidae. The record is from RefSeq and is a predicted model, not a curated record.
UUGAGCCUCCACAGAUUUUGGUAUCCACUGGGGGUCCUGGAACUAAAACCCUGUGGAUACCAAGGGUCCACAGUACUGGGGCAUGAUGUAAACCAUGUAAUUCCUGUCUCGGUUUUGAGAUUUGUCAUAAUUUAUUAUCAGCAAAAGAGUUCUUUUUUGUUUAAAGUUCAGACUGAUGACAUUGCUUUUAUCUUUCUGUCCUUUUUUAACCAGCAUAUGUCUGUGCCUUCGCACAGAUACCAGCCAAUCCCCCUCUCCCCCAGUUAUCGAAAGGAAAAGAUUUUGCUAGAUCCAAGGCUAUAAGCGGAGAAGAGAAACUUCCUUGCCCCAGCUCUGUGGCAUUCAAGGAAAAUAUGGUAAAGGCUAGGACGUUUAUGAAUAAAGAACCAGAAGACACAACAGUGGGCUUUCCAGUAGUCUGAAAGUGCAGUAUAUCAUCAUAACUCCCCCUCUGCGCUAUCAGCCACAAUUUUAGAGGAAGAGUAAUUUACUAAAUGUGGCCACGCAAACCAUUCUUUGGCUCAGGAUCUCAUAUGCUGGCUUGUCACCUGGAUGAAUGUAUAUCAAUGUAUUUGCAACUGCAACUAUUGUGGCCUCUGAGAAUUAUGCUGCUGCAAUAACAGCGAUGGGAAAUAUUGGUGUAUUUCCAGUCUCCUCUAGUCCUAUGAAUGUGGCCAAGUGUUUAUUGAACAAGUUUGCAUGUAGGAAAAGUGUUGCUGGUGUUACAUAUGUUAACUAGCUUUACCUGUGAAAAAUAGUAUUAAAAAUGGGAGUAAUAAUAUAAGCCAAAUGAUAAAAGUUCUGAACUGAGAAUUUUGGAAGAAUUACAGUAAAUUCUUCCCAGCUUGCUGGCUAAUUGUAACAAAGUCAUUUGGUCCUUUCACAUGACACAGUUAUAGUGUUAUGAUUCUUCUUUAAUUGCCAUGAUUCCAUCCUAGGUAAUCCUGGGAUUUGCAGUUUAGGGAGAGUACUUAAGACUUCUCAGCCAGAGAACUCUAAUGCUUUACCAAACUGCAGAACCUAAGAUUUACAAUGGUCCAUUGUAUCUUAAUGCUGAAGUGCAUGAUAAACUCUGUCACUGGCAUCUCAGGCAAGAGUCUAGACUAGCUUCCUGUCUGUUCUUUUGACUGUGCACCGAGUAUGGGGCAAGUGGGGAGCAUUCACUUACAGUUUAGGGAGGUCCAGCAGCAACAGAUAAUGUGAGUGCAGUUCAGAUCAUGCAGUUGUGUUCUUUGCUUAAUUUUUCAAUCUAUGAAGCGUGGGCUGCUUCACAAGAAGAAUGCAUUAUUAGUGACCCUGCAUACUAAGAGAGUUGUUAAUUGCUCAAUAAUCAGACUCCAAAAGGGGAACAGAGCAGACACUUUAAAUUAGAAAUACCUUUACUGAGAAAAUGGCCUAUAAUUUGAGUGAUAGCAUUGCAAUAUGAAUAAGGAUUGCCACAAAGCUCUCUCAUCAUUUGAACACACAAAUAAAUUAUAGAAUUUGUCCAUGAGACAGCCAGGGCCAGCCCAACUGAUCAAGCAACCCAAGCAACAUAUAACUAGAGACAUGCAUCCCAGCAUCCUUUGAAUCCUAGGAUGUACCUCUCUGAUUGUAUAUUGCAACCACUUGGGGGGUGGGAUAACAAAGGGUGGGGUUGCUUUAUUUGGAUUCUUUUCCACUUACUAGCCUUAGAUACAGCAUCCAUCAAAUAGCCCUAUUCCUAUAUCAUUUUUUUAAAAAAAUUACACUACUAGCAGCUUUAUGAGACCUAGUGUUCCCAUUCACCAUCAAACUGCCUUCAUGCAAAAUACCUUCACAUAUUUAUUUCCCCUGCCUGCAGCCUGGAACUUGUAAGUGCUUCACAUCCUGUAAAUCCGAAUGUCUAUGGCAAGUCAUGAAAGUGUCCAUCAUGGAGAAGAGUUUAUACAGCCUUUCUUAACAUGUUAUGUACGGCAUGGCAACAAACAGGUAACAUGACUACAUGCUCUCCUCAUCAGUAAGUUCAUUUGCAAGUAUCAAAACAUACCACAGACAUCAUAUGGAUAUAUGUUAAAUAUUUGUGGCAGGGGAAAAGGGCAUAUGACAAUGUCCAACAUGCAUUCUACUCAAGUAUAAAAAGGUGAAUGGCAGCAUCAGAUAGAAAUGUCAGCACCAAAUGCAAAGGGAUAUGUUCCCUCAAUCACACAUGUGUGUGCAGGGAGAUGGAGGCACCUUCUUGAUAGAUACUAGAAACAUACCCUACAAUUGCCUUCACAAGUCAACUGUUUCUGUUUAAGUCAUCCUAUCUUUUACUCAAAAUUUGUCCCUGUGUUUUAAUUCAAAACACCCCAUAGAUAAAACAUAAUAGACAAAAGUGUGUCAUACCCAUUGCUAUUCAUCAAAGGCAUAACAGUUUUCUCAGAUUCAGGAACUGCAUCUUCUUGACCAUCAACCAACCUACUUUUGUUGUUUUUGCUCUUUGUGAUUGUCUUGAGAUAAUCAAUUGAUCUAGCCACCGAAAAUGAGGAGGAGUUGAGCAGCAGAUUUAAAUGGAUGAAAGGAUCUCAGAUGUCACCUCAGGGGAUGUGAAGAUUGAUCUUUAAAAAUCCAGCAUUUAACCAGCAUAGUCACAAAGGUGAGGGCAUAAUAAGAUUUCACUGCUUUUUGCCUAAUUUAGGCAAGACCCUUUUCAAUGGUUCAGAAAAUGCAGGGGAACAAAAGAUAUUGUUGAUGUAUUUGUCAAAUACUAAGACAGCCUUGAAGUUUACGUUAUUCUCCAGAUUCCCUAAUUCGUCAAGUGUGUGUGUUUGUGUUGCAUGUGUAUUUUAAUGGAUUUCAUGCUGAUGCAGCUUCACAGAAUUCUGACGUUCAGAGCUUGUAGAAAAGGCAAUUCAAUCCAGCAUCCGCCAGUAAACAGAAAAGAAGAUGGAGUCCUGAGGAAUUAUUCAAGACAUCUGGGGACAAUGAAGAACAGGUACUUCUGAUAUGAGCACUGGCCAGUUGGUUUGAGUGUCGCUGUUAUGCUUUUGCUGGUGGCCUAACCGGAAACAACAAUUUAACCAACUUACCUGUUCACCUAAGCUUUUGGUGCCCAGCGAUCUUUGUACCAUUUCUGGACUAUUUGACACCCGUCUCUUUUGUCCUCCUACCUGUUUUGCAUUCAAAUUAAUUUAAUUAAUUAAAAUCUGCAAGUAUAGCAAAACAAAGCAAAAGGAUUUUCAGUAAUUUUCUCAAUGAAGGGAAAUAUCUGUGAUGUUUUGGUCCCAGCUGAGACAUUCUGAACAAGAAGCAUGUCUUGAAAAAUUGCUCUAUUCUUGGAAGAUGGGGGAAUAGGACAGUAGCAGCAAGAUAUGAAAGCAGAAGUGCAGCAACAGGGUAAUGGUGUGACUGAGAAUGCAUCUGAAUGACUACAGAAUGAUGUCUGGAUUUGUAUCAUGGCUCUUGGAAAAUAUCUGUGCUUUUGAAUGGGAAACAUGGCACAAGAUUCAUCCAGCUGUGGAUAAUUACACUUCAAAUGCCCAUCAUGUAUUUGCAUCUCUAAUGAGAAAGCUACCUGCCUGCUGAAUAUUUGAUGCCAGUAUGUGGCACUAUGGGGGAAUCUGUGGAAUAAAGGAACAGGUUUUGCUUU